RNAcentral lists this transfer RNA (76 nucleotides) under Stenotrophomonas maltophilia. RNAcentral's name for it is "tRNA-Asn". It matches the Rfam family "tRNA". From Rfam's summary of the family: Transfer RNA (tRNA) molecules are approximately 80 nucleotides in length. Their secondary structure includes four short double-helical elements and three loops (D, anti-codon, and T loops). RNAcentral also lists the same sequence under 6 other names. The record is from RNAcentral. Lineage: Bacteria; Pseudomonadati; Pseudomonadota; Gammaproteobacteria; Lysobacterales; Lysobacteraceae.
GCCCGAAUAGCUCAGCCGGUUAGAGCACUUGACUGUUAAUCAGGGGUCGUUGGUUCGAGUCCAACUUCGGGCGCCA